Molecule: long non-coding RNA, 459 nt
Organism: Ictalurus punctatus (channel catfish)
Lineage: Eukaryota; Metazoa; Chordata; Actinopteri; Siluriformes; Ictaluridae
Source: Ensembl
GAGAGAAAAAGAGAAGGGAGAAUGAAAGACAAUGAGAGAGAAAGAAUGAUAGAGAGAGACAAACAGAGGCAGCCCAUGGCGUGAUGCAGAAUGAGCCUGCACAGAUAUGGAGAGAUUAGCCAGCCGCUGCUAUAACACUGGCCUGUUUUUAUGACUGCUAAAGCCUCUGGCAGCAGCUAAAGCCACUCUCAUGGGCUCCAAAAGCCCCGGCGUCUCCUGCGGCUCACAAAGACAGAAUAGAGACAAUGAAGAAAACAGCCUCAGGCAUCAAGGCCUUCAGUAGAACAUGCUUACACUACAGAACAUUCUGACAGAACAGCAACCAUGAUGGAUCAAUUGAAGAUUCAUCAAAUCUCUGCUCACAAACACGGGGUGGUAGUUCAGUGGUUAAAGCUAAAUGUGUGCAGAGGUGGCUCAGUGGUUAAAGGAACACUCCAGUGCUUUUCAAGCUAAUCUCUG